GUCUCCACGGCACACUGCAACUGUGAGCUUCAGUGACUGCUUCUGCAAUGCAUCCUGGCCUCCUUCAGAGCAGAAAAGCUGCUGCAGGAAAAGUACUAAAAUGAAAAAGAAUGGCAUAUGUGAUGAGCAGUAACCUGACUGUCCCCAUACAGCACUCAGAAACAAGGGUCUUCCCCUAAAAAGACAUCUCUGCUGAGCUCUUGGAAGAGUGCAAGCCCCUGGGAAUGAGCAAACUACAUCUUCCUCAAUUUGAUUGACUGGGAAGAGUCACUGCUGAUAAAGGUAUAGAGCUGGAACUGGGUUGUAAAGCCAAACUAACAAGCUCUACAGUAUAUGGGGAAUGUUCCACAGCCAAGCAGAGAGGGCAGCUUUGAUCACUGGAGGUCAUAAAUCUGGAUCUUACCUCUUCGUUUAAAGAAGCAUGUGUGGAUAUUUUGUAUUCCAAUUCUACUGAUUAAUUAAUUUGAUUAUGAGGUCUAUCUUGUGCACCACUUUGGCCUGAUGAUGAAUAGGGAGAGCAAUAAUCACCGUAAGAAUGAAGGAAUUUACUGUCUGAACUACCUUAUAUGUAAGGACAGAGGAGAUUUAGUCAGUUCACCAACUCAUGCAAACAAGGAGAACAUAAAGGAAGCAGAUCUGGCUCCCAUCCACCUCCACCUCCUUUUUAAGGUUCUCAAGAUUGUAAACAGUUCGUGCUGAAACGAAUGGGAACCAGACCUAAGAGCAGAGGUUCACACUGGAAAACCAGAAGAAAAGAUAACCAUGAAAGAGCAAGUGAGCAAAGCCUAAAGUUGCUGGCAUUACAACACUGAAACCAAAAAGGAUUUUUGUUAUAUUUUGUUUAAUUUGAAAAUAAA
Centrocercus urophasianus (Greater sage-grouse) is the source of this 857-nucleotide long non-coding RNA. RefSeq lists it as uncharacterized. The transcript is spliced from 5 exons. The record is from RefSeq and is a predicted model, not a curated record. Lineage: Eukaryota; Metazoa; Chordata; Aves; Galliformes; Phasianidae.